GGAAUGGUAUGGGAGUGACGGUACUUUACCAGAAAGCCACGGCUAACUACGUGCCAGCAGCCGCGGUAAUACGUAGGUGGCGAGCGUUAUCCGGAAUUAUUGGGCGUAAAGGGUGCGCAGGCGGUUUGUUAAGUUUAAGGUGAAAGCGUGGGGCUUAACCCCAUAUAGCCUUAGAAACUGACAGACUAGAGUACAGGAGAGGGCAAUGGAAUUCCAUGUGUAGCGGUAAAAUGCGUAGAUAUAUGGAGGAACACCAGUGGCGAAGGCGGUUGCCUGGCCUGUAACUGACGCUCAUGCACGAAAGCGUGGGGAGCAAAUAGGAUUAGAUACCCUAGUAGUCCACGCCGUAAACGAUGAGAACUAAGUGUUGGGGAAACUCAGUGCUGCAGUUAACGCAAUAAGUUCUCCGCCUGGGGAGUAUGCACGCAAGUGUGAAACUCAAAGGAAUUGACGGGGGCCCGCACAAGCGGUGGAGUAUGUGGUUUAAUUCGACGCAACGCGAAGAACCUUACCAGGUCUUGACAUCCCCUGCAAAGACAUAGAGAUAUGUUGGAGGUUAUCAGGGAGACAGGUGGUGCAUGGUUGUCGUCAGCUCGUGUCGUGAGAUGUUGGGUUAAGUCCCGCAACGAGCGCAACCCUUGUCUUUAGUUACUAACAUUCAGUUGAGGACUCUAGAGAGACUGCCGGUGACAAACCGGAGGAAGGGGGGGAUGACGUCAAAUCAUCAUGCCCGUUAUGACCUGGGCUACACACGUACUUCAA
Molecule: ribosomal RNA, 762 nt
Filed under: human gut metagenome
Description: bacterial SSU rRNA
Rfam family: Bacterial small subunit ribosomal RNA
Source: RNAcentral